This 280-nucleotide unclassified non-coding RNA is filed under the name Hevea brasiliensis (rubber tree). The record is from RNAcentral. Lineage: Eukaryota; Viridiplantae; Streptophyta; Magnoliopsida; Malpighiales; Euphorbiaceae.
GAAUAAAGAGAAAUCAAGAUUGGGGUGGUGAUAAUGUCUGGUCCAUUAACCGGAACCAUCUAUAGGGGAGGCAUUUUAAAAUCAUGAAGAAUUUAAGCACAACUAAUGCAUCUGGAGAUAUAAUUUUAGACACUGAAAAAUGCCAUGAAAACAACAAGAGAGCAUGAGCUUUGCUUGGCAGCAAAUGAGAUAUCUAUAAAAUCAUAGCAUAAAAAAAAAUGUAUUUAAGAAUAGAAAAGCAUAAGGAAAUAUCUACCUAGAUGAAAAGCUCGAGGGCAAC